UACGAAGGGUGCAAGCGUUACUCGGAAUUACUGGGCGUAAAGCGUGCGUAGGUGGUUUUUUAAGUCCGUUGUGAAAGCCCUGGGCUCGACCUGGGAAUGGCAGUGGAUACUGGAAAGCUAGAGUGCGGUAGAGGGUAGUGGAAUUCCCGGUGUAGCAGUGAAAUGCGUAGAGAUCGGGAGGAACACCCGUGGCGAAGGCGGCUCUCUGGGACGGUACUGACGCUGAGACGCGAAAGCGUGGGGAGCGAACAGG
RNAcentral lists this ribosomal RNA (253 nucleotides) under uncultured bacterium. RNAcentral's name for it is "partial 16S ribosomal RNA". It matches the Rfam family "Bacterial small subunit ribosomal RNA", at positions 524 to 776 of the family's 1533-position model. The record is from RNAcentral.